GGCUGGUCCAAAGGUAGUACAUUAUCUCGAUUGAUUGUUCACUAUCAGCUACAGAUCAAACUCCUUGUUAUCCUCUUUUCCUGCUUCUCACUACUGCAUUUGACUAGUCUUUA
Gorilla gorilla gorilla (western lowland gorilla) is the source of this 113-nucleotide unclassified non-coding RNA. It matches the Rfam family "Y RNA". From Rfam's summary of the family: Y RNAs are components of the Ro ribonucleoprotein particle (Ro RNP), in association with Ro60 and La proteins. The Y RNAs and Ro60 and La proteins are well conserved, but the function of the Ro RNP is not known. In humans the RNA component can be one of four small RNAs -- hY1, hY3, hY4 and hY5. Lineage: Eukaryota; Metazoa; Chordata; Mammalia; Primates; Hominidae. The record is from Ensembl.